Molecule: ribosomal RNA, 322 nt
Filed under: uncultured eukaryote
Lineage: Eukaryota
Description: partial 18S ribosomal RNA
Rfam family: Eukaryotic small subunit ribosomal RNA
Source: RNAcentral
CCCUUAGAUGUUCUGGGCCGCACGCGCGCUACACUGAUGCAUUCAACGAGCCUAUCCUUGACCGACAGGUCCGGGUAAUCUUUGAAUCUGCAUCGUGACGGGGAUAGAUUAUUGCAAUUAUUAAUCUUCAACGAGGAAUGCCUAGUAGGCGCAAGUCAUCAGCUUGCGUCGAUUACGUCCCUGCCCUUUGUACACACCGCCCGUCGCUCCUACCGAUUAAGUGAUCCGGUGAAUAGUUCGGACUGCUGCAAUGCUUGGAUCCCGAGAAUUGCGGCGAAAGUUUAGUGAACCUUAUCACUUAGAGGAAGGAGAAGUCGUAACA